UUAAUCGCCCAGAAACGUCGUCAAGGUUCUUUGAGUGCAGUCAUUGAUAAGCUAACUCGUAGUACUAACGUACCUGGAGGAGGUGAUGGGUCAAAUCCUGGAGAAGGUGUGCCUAAAUUUGAAAACUGUUCUAGACCUGAUAGUAGUAGUAACAGUGGUAAUGGGCCCGGUGGAGCUCGAUUUAAUGCGAAUACUGGAGUAUCUAGUUCAAUGAAUAAAAUAGCGGAAAGCAAGAUGAAAUAUAGCCGCAGUUCCGAUCAGUUUACCAUGAGACUGAUAUCACGAAACACUUUAAAGUUUACGGUGACCAAAACAAAGCCAUCAUCAACAAUGCCCGAGAAUAGAUCAAAGAAACCAGCUAUU
This 363-nucleotide long non-coding RNA is filed under the name Lupinus mutabilis. RNAcentral describes it as "partial ncRNA". Lineage: Eukaryota; Viridiplantae; Streptophyta; Magnoliopsida; Fabales; Fabaceae. The record is from RNAcentral.